GACGAACGCUGGCGGCGUGCUUAACACAUGCAAGUCGAACGGAAAGGCCCUGCUGUUGUUGGGUGCUCGAGUGGCGAACGGGUGAGUAACACGUGAGUAACCUGCCCUUGACUUUGGGAUAACUUCAGGUAACUGGGGCUAAUACCGGAUAGGAGCUCCUGCUGCUUGUUGUGGGUUGGUAAGUUUCGGCGGUUGGGGAUUGACUCGCGGCAAAUCAGCUUGUUGGUGUGGUAGUGACUUACCAAGGCUUUGACGGGUAGCCGGCCUGAGAGGGUGACCGGCCACAUUGGCACUGAGAUGCGGCCCAGACUGCUACGGGAGGCAGCAGUGGAGAAUAUUGCACGAUGGGCGGAAGCCUGAUGCAGCAACGCCGCGUGGGGGAUGACGGUCGUCAGGUUGUAACCCGCGUUCGCCUGUGACGAAGAGUCAGUGACGGUAACGGGUAAAGAAGCACCGGCUAACUACGUG
RNAcentral lists this ribosomal RNA (468 nucleotides) under uncultured bacterium. RNAcentral describes it as "partial 16S ribosomal RNA". It matches the Rfam family "Bacterial small subunit ribosomal RNA", at positions 28 to 507 of the family's 1533-position model. The record is from RNAcentral.